Molecule: ribosomal RNA, 250 nt
Filed under: uncultured bacterium
Lineage: Bacteria
Description: partial 16S ribosomal RNA
Rfam family: Bacterial small subunit ribosomal RNA
Source: RNAcentral
ACGCGAGGAACCUUACCAAGACUUAAAUGGGAACUGAUCGGCUUAGAAAUAGGCUUUCCUUCGGGCAGUUUUCAAGGUGCUGCAUGGUUGUCGUCAGCUCGUGCCGUGAGGUGUUAGGUUAAGUCCUGCAACGAGCGCAACCCCCUGUCACUAGUUGCUAACAUUAAGUUGAGGACUCUAGUGAGACUGCCUACGCAAGUAGAGAGGAAGGUGGGGAUGACGUCAAAUCAUCACGGCCCUUACGUCUUGG